Molecule: ribosomal RNA, 468 nt
Filed under: uncultured bacterium
Lineage: Bacteria
Description: partial 16S ribosomal RNA
Rfam family: Bacterial small subunit ribosomal RNA
Source: RNAcentral
GACGAACGCUGGCGGCGUGCUUAACACAUGCAAGUCGAACGGAAAGGCCCUGCUUUUGUGGGGUGCUCGAGUGGCGAACGGGUGAGUAACACGUGAGUAACCUGCCCUUGACUUUGGGAUAACUUCAGGAAACUGGGGCUAAUAACGGAUAGGAGCUCCUGCUGCAUGGUGGGGGUUGGAAAGUUUCGGCGGUUGGGGAUGGACUCGCGGCUUAUCAGCUUGUUGGUGGGGUAGUGGCUUACCAAGGCUUUGACGGGUAACCGGCCUGAGAGGGUGACCGGCCACAUUGGGACUGAGAUACGGCCCAGACUCCUACGGGAGGCAGCAGUGGGGAAUAUUGCACAAUGGGCGGAAGCCUGAUGCAGCAACGCCGCGUGCGGGAUGACGGCCUUCGGGUUGUAAACCGCUUUCGCCUGUGACGAAGCGUGAGUGACGGUAAUGGGUAAAGAAGCACCGGCUAACUACGUG